This 301-nucleotide ribosomal RNA is filed under the name uncultured bacterium. RNAcentral's name for it is "partial 16S ribosomal RNA". It matches the Rfam family "Bacterial small subunit ribosomal RNA", at positions 509 to 808 of the family's 1533-position model. The record is from RNAcentral.
CAGUCGCCGCGGGAAUACGUAGGUGGCGAGCGUUGUCCGGAAUCAUUGGGCGUAAAGGGAGCGCAGGCGGGCAUGUAAGUCUUUCUUAAAAGUGCGGGGCUCAACCCCGUGAUGGGAAAGAAACUACAUGUCUUGAGUACAGGAGAGGAAAGCGGAAUUCCCAGUGUAGCGGUGAAAUGCGUAGAUAUUGGGAGGAACACCAGUGGCGAAGGCGGCUUUCUGGACUGCAACUGACGCUGAGGCUCGAAAGCCAGGGGAGCGAACGGGAUUAGAUACCCCAGUAGUCCCUGUCUCUUAUACC